RNAcentral lists this ribosomal RNA (397 nucleotides) under uncultured bacterium. RNAcentral's name for it is "partial 16S ribosomal RNA". It matches the Rfam family "Bacterial small subunit ribosomal RNA", at positions 523 to 918 of the family's 1533-position model. The record is from RNAcentral.
AUACGUAGGGGGCGAGCGUUGUCCGGAAUGAUUGGGCGUAAAGGGCGCGUAGGCGGCCUGUUAAGUCUGGAGUGAAAGUCCUGUUUUCAAGAUGGGAAUUGCUUUGGAUACUGAUGGGCUUGAGUGCAGGAGAGGUUAUCGGAAUUCCCGGUGUAGCGGUGAAAUGCGUAGAGAUCGGGAGGAACACCAGUGGCGAAGGCGGGUAACUGGACUGCAACUGACGCUGAGGCGCGAAAGUGUGGGGAGCAAACAGGAUUAGAUACCCUGGUAGUCCACACUGUAAACGAUGAAUGCUAGGUGUAAGAGGUAUCGACCCCUUUUGUGCCGGAGUCAACACAAUGAGCAUUCCGCCUGGGGAGUACGGCCGCAAGGUUGAAACUCAAAUGAAUUGACGGGG